GUGUCAGCCGCCGCGGUAAUACGGAGGGUGCGAGCGUUAAUCGGAAUUACUGGGCGUAAAGGGCGCGUAGGCGGCCGAUCAAGUCAGAUGUGAAAGCCCACGGCUUAACCGUGUGAAGUGCAUCUGAAACUGGUCGGCUUGAGUAUCGGAGAGGAAAGUGGAAUUCCCGGUGUAGAGGUGAAAUUCGUAGAUAUCGGGAGGAAUACCGGUGGCGAAGGCGACUUUCUGGACGAAUACUGACGCUGAGGCGCGAAAGCGUGGGGAGCAAACAGGAUUAGAAACCCUUGUAGUCC
RNAcentral lists this ribosomal RNA (293 nucleotides) under uncultured bacterium. RNAcentral's name for it is "partial 16S ribosomal RNA". It matches the Rfam family "Bacterial small subunit ribosomal RNA", at positions 505 to 796 of the family's 1533-position model. The record is from RNAcentral.